UACGGAGGGUGCAAGCGUUGUUCGGAAUUACUGGGCGUAAAGCGCGCGCAGGCGGACUGUUAAGUCAGAUGUGAAAGCCCAUGGCUCAACCAUGGACGUGCAUUUGAAACUGGCAGGCUUGAGUAGUGGAGGGGGUGGUGGAAUUCCCGGUGUAGAGGUGAAAUGCGUAGAUAUCGGGAAGAACACCGGUGGCGAAGGCGCUCUGCUGGGCCAUAACUGACGCUCAUGGACGAAAGCCAGGGGAGCGAAAGGGAUUAGAUACCCCCGUAGUCCUGGCCGUAAAGCGAUGAACACUAGGUGUCGGGGGAAUCGACCCCCUCGGUGUCGUAGCCACCGCGUUAAGUGUUCCGCCUGGGGAGUACGCACGCAAGUGUGAAACUCAAAGGAAUUGACGGGGGCCCGCACAAGCGGUGGAGUAUGUGGUUUAAUUCGAUGCAACGCGAAGAACCUUACCAGGGUUUGACAUCCUGCGAAUCCCUUGGAAACGAGGGAGUGCCUUCGGGAACGCAGUGACAGGUGGUGCAUGGCUGUCGUCAGCUCGUGUCGUGAGAUGUUGGGUUAAGUCCCGCAACGAGCGCAACCCACGUCGUUAGUCGCCAGCAUUCAGUUGGGCACUCUAGCGAGACCGCCGGUGAUAAACCGGAGGAAGGUGUGGAUGACGUCAAGUCAUCAUGCCCCUUACAUCCUGGGCUACACACGUACUACAAUGCUACGGACAAAGGGCAGCAAACUCGCGAGAGCUAGCAAAUCCCAUAAACCGUGGCUCAGUUCAGAUCGUAGGCUGCAACUCGCCUACGUGAAGGAGGAAUCGCUAGUAAUCGCAGGUCAGCAUACUGCGGUGAAUACGUUCCCGGGCCU
This 858-nucleotide ribosomal RNA is filed under the name uncultured bacterium. RNAcentral's name for it is "SSU rRNA". It matches the Rfam family "Bacterial small subunit ribosomal RNA", at positions 524 to 1381 of the family's 1533-position model. The record is from RNAcentral.